UACCGCAAUCGUCUUCUUCCGGAAAAUGCCGAAGCUCAAAUAUGUCUUGGUUCUUGGUUAGAGGAGGUUCCUUCUUUGGAAGAUAUUGAAGGACAUCUGUUGGUGCAUGAUUUUAGUGAUAUUCAAAAUUUUGAAUCUGAAGGAGGAUGGUGAAGUGCUUGUUAGAAGAUUUGUCAUCUAUUAAGGAGGUGUGUGUUGAUUGUGGUAGCAGCAGUGAUGCUUAUACUUGCAGUAAUUGGUUUUGGUAUGUAUUCU
Molecule: long non-coding RNA, 255 nt
Organism: Asparagus officinalis (garden asparagus)
Lineage: Eukaryota; Viridiplantae; Streptophyta; Magnoliopsida; Asparagales; Asparagaceae
Exons: 3
Source: RefSeq, a predicted model, not a curated record